GUUCUUUUAUUAUAUUUUAGUAAAUUUGAUUUCCAAUCAAAAAGAUCAGCUUCUCUGAAAAGAAUA
RNAcentral lists this transfer RNA (66 nucleotides) under Chelopistes texanus. RNAcentral's name for it is "tRNA-Gly". The record is from RNAcentral. Lineage: Eukaryota; Metazoa; Arthropoda; Insecta; Psocodea; Philopteridae.